Molecule: long non-coding RNA, 279 nt
Organism: Hyalella azteca
Lineage: Eukaryota; Metazoa; Arthropoda; Malacostraca; Amphipoda; Hyalellidae
Exons: 2
Source: RefSeq, a predicted model, not a curated record
UGAGAAAAUCUUCCUAUUACAAGCGUGUCAACAAACCCAAGUUCACGUACAAGAUGAUAAUUUCCCUCGUAAUCCUGAACCUCGGGGCUGCACUGGCAAUAGCCUUGAUCUUCGACGCCAUUCCGAAGACUCUAAAGCAACCUCACGUCUACGCUUGGUACGCGGCGCAGCUUGUAGGGGGCAUCCUGAUCCCGUACUCCUACGGUGCGGUGGUACCGUACUUCGUGCAAAAAGUAUCUGGAGUUCCACCUCUAAAAAUUAAAUGAGCUCAUUGCGUUU